CUGCUGACGUCAGCCCUUCAGGUCGCACCUGGCACAAGAAGGUCACUUCCUGCGUGGAUUUCUCCCAUCCCCAGCUUGAGGGCAGAGGAGGUAGUGGGUUGCCAAACGUCUGCCAAAAGUUCCUGUCCACCUGAACCUCGGACUGUGAUCUUAUUUGGAAACAGAGUCUUUGCAGAUGUGAGUAAGGACCUGAAGAUGAUGAGCUCAUCCUGGAUUUCGGGUAGGGCCUCAGUUGAAUGACUGGUGUCCUUAUAAGAAGAGGAGAGGACACAGAGACAUGGAGGGGAGAAGGUUGUUUGAAAGACAGGGGCAGAGGUUGUAAAUCUGCUGCCACAAACCAAGGAGGCAGGAACCGCCAUGAGCUGCAGGAGGUGGCCUCAAAUCCUGUCAGCUGCUCCUGCCCUGUGACCUCACUCAGCUCCGCUUCCCCCAACUCCAGGUCUGGCAGUGCUGCAGGCCUGGAGAUGCUGCAGUCUCCUGGAUGCACAGACUCGCUGGGGCUUCUGCCAGGUCUCCUGCCGUUGACUGUACCUGACCUCAUUGCCAGGAUGGGAAGUUAUCAUUGUGAUGGCCUCUGGAAAUGCAGCUGAAAUGUGUCUCAUAUCACUCUCUGCAUCAUAAUCAUCUGGAUGGUUGUUAAAACUCAGAUUUCUGGACUUCAACUCAACUGGGGUGUAGGUGGGGCCAAGAAUUUGCACUUCUAAGUGGUCCCAGAUGAUGCUGCUGCUGCUGGCACAGGCAUCACACAUGGAGAACUAGAUUUGGGGACAUCGAGCUGAUAGGAGUCAAGGACAGAAAGCUCAGGUCAUUACCCAGUGGCAACUCCAGACAUUUCCCUCCACCACCCUCCUCUGAGGAUGUUCCCUCUUCCCACCCUGUCACUGUCAACUACAUACAUGUUGGUACCCCCCACCCACUGUCAUUUGCAUACAGAGAUCACAGGCAUCUUUGUAUCCCCAAAUUUCAGGUCUUCAGCGUCUCUUUGUGCUCUGCCGUAGGCACACGAUCACCUAGUUUUCACAGCUCCUUUAGUGACUCAUCUCCAGUGAAAUCACACACCUCUCAGCCCUUACAUGCUCCACUCCACUUCCACACCCAAGUCCCAUCUUCACUCUGAUAUUCUCCUGUUCAUAAAUAAGUAACUCAGACCCACCGCAUUCCCAUCACCCAGACCCAUCCCCAGUAAACAACCAUCUUUCCUCCCCGACUCUCUUCCUUCUCUCUUCCAACUCUCCUUGUUAAUCUCAGCUCCACCAUCUGACCUAACACAACAAUUGAUGCUCCUUAGAAGUCAAUCCUGCUCUCACAUUUAUUCCACAUUCACACCCUCUUCCCAUCCAUUUUCCUGGCUUCACAUACCAUUAGCGAACCAGAAAUGCCCAUAGAAUUAGCAUAGACCCUACUUCAACCCUGAGACCCAAAUACUCAUCUGCCUACUCCCUACACCAGUGACAAAUCUCAACUCACAUUGAGCAGGUGCCAAGUUGAACCAACCAGUUCUCCAAAUAAUUCACCCCUCUGUCAAGGUCCCCUAAACUUACUUGUUGGUACUAAUUUCCUGUCUACCCCUGAGUGUCAUUCUGGACACCCUGCCACCCCACACUCAUAUAUCAGUGAGCAAUCCAUCCACCCUCCUGAAUCCACCUACAGAUUCUCAACUUUUGAAUAAUUCUUGAGCACCUUUCAGAUUUCCUACAAAAUACCAUCUCCACAGAGUGCCCUUCCCUGAUCCAGCAAUCAAAAUAAUAUUACAUGUUCUCUGUGUUAAUUGUAUGUGUAUUAUUAUCUGUUUCUUUCGUACUGUUUUCCUCACUAAAUUGGAUACUCCAUGAAGUGAAGACUAGUGUCAACGUUAAUAUUUUGCACUGCUGUAUUCACUUCUUGCUUUGGCCUUAGAAGGUGCAGAUAUAUCUAUUGAAAGAAAUUAUUCAAACUCAAAAAUUACUUUCUAAGUUUUUCAAACAAAUUCACUCAAUUAGAAUUGAAGAAUGACGUAAUCUCUUUUGUGGUGUAUUGCAAAAAAUUAUCAGUAAGAUAGCAAAUCCCUUCUCUGUGUAAUCCAUUAUAAGACUCUACUCCCAAAAAUCUGUUAAAAAUGUAAACCUAAUCAGUACACCUUUCCUUUUAAGCCCCUCAUUUCUGUCUUCAGAAGAUAUUUUUUUAAAGUAAAACCAUAAAUCUCACUUCA
RNAcentral lists this long non-coding RNA (2188 nucleotides) under Equus asinus (donkey). RNAcentral describes it as "lncRNA (ENSEASG00005033040.1)". The record is from RNAcentral. Lineage: Eukaryota; Metazoa; Chordata; Mammalia; Perissodactyla; Equidae.